Molecule: long non-coding RNA, 3073 nt
Filed under: Sus scrofa (pig)
Lineage: Eukaryota; Metazoa; Chordata; Mammalia; Artiodactyla; Suidae
Description: lncRNA (ENSSSCG00040074231.1)
Source: RNAcentral
AUAAUGAUUUUUAUUUUUUCCAUUAUAGCUGGUUUAGAGUGUUCUAUCAAUUUUGUACUGUACCGCAUGGUGACCCAGUCACACUUACACGUAUACAUUCCUUUUUCUCACACGAUCACACGCCAUCAUAAGUGACUAGAUAUAGUUCCCAGUGCUUAGCAGGAUCUAGCAGCAAGUUCAAAAACUGUACAUUUGAAAUAGAUGCACACAAACGCAGAGAUAUUGCAAAUAUCAGUGAUUGCAGAUAACUGUAACACGAUAUGGAAAUAUUUACUUUCUGCUGCUGACAGUUACUGUGGCUAACGCUGCUGUGAUUUGUUGCCCGUGUUCAUAUCGGACAAGCAUGCUAGAUUUCAGUGAGACAUUAGUGAAAAUAAAAAUGAUGUUUUGUCCCAUCCAAGUCAAUGGACCCCCUGUAUUCCAUCCACAGUUCCCUUGGUAGUCUCUGUGACUAUAGCAAAUGCUUCCAUCCCCAGUUUACAGAUGAGGAAACAGGAGUUCAGGCAAGUUAAGUAACUUUUCAAGGAUUAUAGACCUAGAACUCGUUCGCUUAGAAGCACCAUUUGCUUCUAAAGCUUGUUCUAUUUUUCAUUUGAGCAGGGCUUCUCAAUCUUUUUUUUUUUUUUUCUUUAUUUUUUGGCUGUACCCAUGGUAUAUGGAAGGUCCUGGGCCAAGGACUGAAUCCAAGUCACAGUGGCAACACCGGAUCCUUAACCCACUGCACCACAGCACGGGGUUGGGGAAUUAAACCUGGGCUGCCACAGAGACAAUGCAGGAAUCUUAACCCACUGCAUCACAAAGGGAACUCCUUGUUUCUCAAUCUUUAACGAAAAUAUAACCAUGUGGGACCCGUGUUAAAAUGCAUCGUCACUGGCUCCACCCCUAGGGAUUCUGAUUCAGGAGGUUGUGGGGGCGCGGGGUCGGGGUCUGAGCUUCUCUGUUUCUAACUAGCUCCCCAGGGAUGCUGUUGUUACUGGUUCUGGGCCGCACUUGCCACUAAUGAGGUGGAGGGAGAAAGAGACAAAAAAUCCAGCUAUCUUGUCCUGCAAGUUCAAGUGCCUUCCGGGUCAGGACCUGCGGGCGGAGGCUUGCUCUCACCACCUGCUUUUGCAUCUCUGCCCGCGUCUGCUGACCAUCUCUCCUUAAGCUGCCCGCUCUGGACAUGAUCUUCUCCAGGCUGCCCCUGAAUUCCAUUUUUAGCGGGUUUCACUUACAUUAAGAUGCUCUCAGGAAAGAAGAGGGCCCAGGGUGAUUAACCUCAGUCAGGCCCUGGGAAUCAACCCUCCCACCCAGUGCUUCGGCCCCCAGUCCUGCCGCCUUCCUGAGCUGUGCUCCCUGCAGAGCCCAGGCAGACAGGCUGAGACGAGGGCAGGGGUGCCCAGCUGUGGCUGGACAUGGGAAGACCAGAGGGGCUUAAAAAAAAUAGUGUUUUUUAUUUAUUUCCUGAAAGUCUCAUGGUCUGGGCUGCUGCCUGGACAUCAGGAGUUAUAAACGCUACAUAGGAGAUUCCAAGAAACGCCUGAAGUCGGGAAUCACUGGCUUAUGGAAAAGAAACCGGUUAGGCACGCAGUUGUGGAGUAAUGCACCAGGCACCGUGUUUAGUGUUUUACACCCGUCACAACAGUUGUGUGAGGUGGGUGAAAAGAUCCCCAUUGUACAGAUGAGGCAACUGAGGACGCAUCGAGGUUAUGUAAGUUGUCCAAAGCCACAUGCAAGUAUAUGAGCCAGAAUUUAAAUCCACAUUAGUCUGGCUGCAAAGCCAGACGUCUUAGGAUCCUGCUGUUUCCCAGGAAAGGGCCAUAAAAUGGUAACCUUCUCUCUUGCCCCUAAACCUGCUGCUGUCCCUUUUAACUCACAGUGUUUACAUCCCCUUUGCUGUGAAACGUGCUUAAAAAAUGCCGUGGAUCUGGAAAUCCAUCAGACGCGCCUACAGGAGGCCUGAAGAUCUACAAGGUCUUUUUGUGAUUCCAGCUCCGGCUUUUAAAGUCUAUUUGUCACAAAAGUGCCUCCUGUUCAUUUCACUGGAUGCAUCCUCUGGCAUCCUAAAUGCAACAUGACAAGUGACAAAUGUGCUGAGAGGGAGGGCGGUCCUUGGACUGUGAUCAUGUUGGAAUGAAUGACCACCCAGAGGAGACUUAAUAAAAUUUCCAGCAUCCGCUCUAAGCCAGAAGCGAAGUUUUCAGACUCAGGCUAAGAAUCUUAAGGGCAAGUUUGGUGCUCAGCUGGGAAUGAGUGCUGGGAGGCAGCAGGAAAAGGGGGGAAAGGGCUGAUUUUGCAGUUAGCUGACCUGGGAGCAGAUCCCACUCCACUCCUGCCUGUUGGGGAUUCUGAGAAACAGGCUUAACCUCUUGAGCGCCCUCUUCCUGGGUGAAGUGGGGAUAAAAAUAUCUCGUCAACUAGGUUGUUGUAAGGAUUAGACAUGAUGUAUAUAAAGAAUGUUUGGCAAAAAUAUCAGGCCAAUAAUUGAAAACUGUUAAUACCACCUUGCUUUCCCAUAAACUUGGCCAAAAGACUGGGCUUUUUUUUUUUUUUUUUUUUCCUCUAAAUUCCCCGGGAUAAUUUUUUUUUUUUUUUUUUUUUGUCUUUUUGUCUUUUUGCCAUUUCUUGGGCCGCUCCCGCAGCAUAUGGAGGUUCCCAGGCUAGGGGUUGAAUCGGAGCUGUAGCUGCCGGCCUACACCAGAGCCACAGCAACACGGGAUUCGAGCCGCGUCUGCAACCUACACCACACCUCACGGCAAUGCCGGAUCCUUAACCCACUGAGCAAGGCCAGGGAUCGAACCUGCAACCUCAUGGUUCCUAGUUGGAUUCGUUAAUCACUGCGCCACGACAGGAACUCCUCCUGGAUAAAUUUUUCAGCUAUUUUUCAAUAUUGAUAAUCAUUUGUUUUAGGAAAGCAAGUCUCAUUUCAUUACCAUCUCAUAAAAUACUAGUUUUUUUUUGAUAUCCAAUCUAGAGGUCUGCAUAUUUGUUAACAGGCACUUCUUAUAAGGCAGAUUCCUAAGGCUCCAUAUUAAGAUGCGCUGGAAGAGGUCCCAGAAAAAAGGAAAUGAUUGAUGUAAAGAUGUUGGGAUUA